RNAcentral lists this ribosomal RNA (433 nucleotides) under uncultured bacterium. RNAcentral describes it as "partial 16S ribosomal RNA". It matches the Rfam family "Bacterial small subunit ribosomal RNA", at positions 29 to 507 of the family's 1533-position model. The record is from RNAcentral.
AACGAACGCUGGCGGCAUGCCUAACACAUGCAAGUCGAACGAGACCUUCGGGUCUAGUGGCGCACGGGUGCGUAACGCGUGGGAACCUGCCCUUAGGUUCGGGAUAACUCCCCGAAAGGGGUGCUAAUACCGGAUAAUGUCUUCGGACCAAAGAUUUAUCGCCUUUGGAUGGGCCCGCGUUGGAUUAGCUAGUUGGUAGGGUAAAAGCCUACCAAGGCGACGAUCCAUAGCUGGUCUGAGAGGAUGAUCAGCCACACUGGGACUGAGACACGGCCCAGACUCCUACGGGAAGCAGCAGUGGGGAAUAUUGGACAAUGGGCGAAAGCCUGAUCCAGCAAUGCCGCGUGAGUGAUGAAGGCCUUAGGGUUGUAAAGCUCUUUUACCCGGGAUGAUAAUGACAGUACCGGGAGAAUAAGCGCCGGCUAACUCCGUG